AAGUUCGUGGUCAAGCUACUAAGAGCGAACGGUGGAUGCCUUGGCGCCGGGAAGCGAUGAAGGACGUGGCAAGCUGCGAUAAGCCUCGGGGAGCCGCAAGCAGGCAUCGAUCCGAGGAUGUCCGAAUGGGGGAACCUGGGCGGAGUAAUGUCCGCUCGUCCCUGACUGAAUCCAUAGGUCAGGGCACGCGAACCGGGGGAACUGAAACAUCUCAGUACCUCGAGGGAAAAGAAAUCAACCGAGAUUGCCCAAGUAGCGGCGAGCGAACGGGCAACAGCCUAAACCAGAUCCGAGCAAUCGGGUCUGGGGUUGCGGGGCGCUCAUAGGGGAAACCCGGAGAGUUACCAAGUCAGGCGAUAGUCGAAGGCUCUGGAAAGUGCCGCCAAAGACGGUGAUAGCCCGGUAGACGAAAUCGCACUGAUCUCUCUGAUGAGCGUUCCCAAGUACUACGGGACACGUGAAACCCCGUAGGAAUCUGGGGGGCCCACCCUCCAAGGCUAAAUAUUCCCCGGCGACCGAUAGUGAACCAGUACCGUGAGGGAAAGGCGAAAAGAACCCCGGUGAGGGGAGUGAAAUAGAACCUGAAACCGUUCGCUUACAAGCGGUAGGAGGGCUAUGCCGUCGCAAGACGGAAGGCCUGACUGCGUGCCUUUUGCAUAAUGAGCCGGCGAGUUGCUGGUACGUGGCGAGGUUAAGCGUCGAAGGCGCGGAGCCGUAGCGAAAGCGAGUCCGAAUAGGGCGAUAAGUCGCGUGCCGCAGACCCGAAGCCAAGUGAUCUACCCCUGACCAGGGUGAAGCUGCCGUAACAGGCGGUGGAGGCCCGAACCGGUGUUGGUUGAAAACAGCUCGGAUGAGUUGGGGGUCGGAGUGAAAGGCUAAUCAAACUUGGAGAUAGCUGGUUCUCCCCGAAAUAUCUUUAGGGAUAGCCUCGUGUGUGACGCGUGGUGGUAGAGCUCUGAAUGGGCUAGGGGUCCUACCAGAUUACCAACCCCAAUCAAACUCCAAAUGCCAUGCGUUUGAGCACGGGAGUCAGUCGACGCGGGAUAAGCUGCGUGGACGAGAGGGAAACAACCCAGAUCGCCAGCUAAGGUCCCUAAGUGCGUGCUUAGUGGGAAACGAUGUGGGGUCGCUCAGACAGCCAGGAGGUUGGCUUAGAGGCAGCCAUCCUUUAAAGAGUGCGUAACAGCUCACUGGUCAAGCGAUCCUGCGCGGACAAUUCAACGGGGCUCAAGCACGCCACCGAAGCUGCGAGCUCAGUAGGGAGACCUGCUGAGCGGUAGGGGAGCAUUCCGCGAUAGGUUGAAGGCCGACCGCGAGGACGGCUGGACGAUGCGGAAGAGAUAAUGCCGGCACGAGUAGCGAUAAAGCAGGUGAAAAACCUGCUCGCCGAAAGCCCAAGGGUUCCUGGGGAAGGUUAAUCCGCCCAGGGUUAGGCGGUCCCUAAGCCGAGGCCGACAGGCGUAGGCGAAGGACAACAGGUUAAUAUUCCUGUUCCGCCGUGGUGACGUUAUGAGCAAUGGGGGGACGGAGAAGGUUAGGCACCGCCCGCGAUCGGAAGUGCGGGUCCAAACGCGUAGGGAGCUCUGAUAGGCAAAUCCGUCGGAGCGCCGCAAGGCAAUCCUGAAACGUGAUGGGGAGGCCUUCGGGCCAUAAACGGGCCGAUACCAUGCUUCCAAGAAAAUCCUCUAGCCAGUUGCCAAGGCGACCGUACCGGAAACCGACACAGGUGGGCGAGGAGAAUAUCCACAGGCGCUCGGGAGAACUCUCGCGAAGGAACUAGGCAAAAUAACCCCGUAACUUAGGGAGAAGGGGUGCCGCAGUAGGGUGUCAAAGCCCGAAGCGGUCGCAGUGAAAAGGGCCAAGCGACUGUUUACUAAAAACACAGGACUCUGCCAACUCGUAAGAGGAGGUAUAGGGUCUGACGCCUGCCCGGUGCCGGAAGGUUAAGGAGAGGGGUUAGUGCCCGCAAGGGUGCGAAGCUCUGAACCGAA
Molecule: ribosomal RNA, 1991 nt
Filed under: Candidatus Rokuibacteriota bacterium
Lineage: Bacteria; Candidatus Rokuibacteriota
Description: bacterial LSU rRNA
Rfam family: Bacterial large subunit ribosomal RNA
Source: RNAcentral